Molecule: ribosomal RNA, 466 nt
Filed under: uncultured bacterium
Lineage: Bacteria
Description: partial 16S ribosomal RNA
Rfam family: Bacterial small subunit ribosomal RNA
Source: RNAcentral
GAUGAACGCUGGCGGCGUGCUUAACACAUGCAAGUCGAACGAUGAAGCCCAGCUUGCUGGGUGGAUUAGUGGCGAACGGGUGAGUAACACGUGAGUAACCUGCCCUUGACUCUGGGAUAAGCGCUGGAAACGGCGUCUAAUACCGGAUACGAGCUUCCACCGCAUGGUGAGUUGCUGGGAAGAAUUUCGGUCAAGGAUGGACUCGCGGCCUAUCAGGUAGUUGGUGAGGUAACGGCUCACCAAGCCGACGACGGGUAGCCGGCCUGAGAGGGUGACCGGCCACACUGGGACUGAGACACGGCCCAGACUCCUACGGGAGGCAGCAGUGGGGAAUAUUGCACAAUGGGCGCAAGCCUGAUGCAGCAACGCCGCGUGAGGGACGAAGGCCUUCGGGUCGUAAACCUCUUUUAGCAGGGAAGAAGCGAAAGUGACGGUACCUGCAGAAAAAGCACCGGCUAACUACGUG